AAGUCCUUGCCCUAUUGCUUAGGUGGCAGGAGGCUUUAGGCGAAGGAUCCACACUUUCUGCAGCUCAGUUUCUUCACCUUUAAAGUGUUGUUACAAAGACGUGCGACAUCUUAUAUGUUUCACAUAAGGAACACACCUACCACAUCAUAGUGGCUCAGAAAUUGGUUAAGUGAUGGGAGAGAAGGGGAGAACUAUAUGCCAACUGGAGACUUUGAGACAAUGUUCUUGGUCCUUUAUUGUUGCCUGGUGGGAUGGGAUGGUUCACCAAACAUGUGCCAUGAUAGUAAUUUGCUGGACAUACUGUGCAUGAAUCUUCAACAUGAAUUAGCAAUUUUGAAAGAAUAUAAUUAUAAUAAAAUAUAUUCAACACCACAACUGUAAAGAACAUCAUUUUGGCCAGGUGUGGUGGCUCACGCCUGUAAUCCCAACCCUUUGAAAGGCAGAAGCGAGCAGAUCACUUCAGGUCAGCAGUUUGAGACCAGCCUGGCAUAUGGAGAAAUUGGCUUACUAAAAAUACAAAAAUUAGCUGGGUGUGGUGGUGAGUGCCUGUAAUCACAGCUACAUGGGAGGCUGAGACAGGGGAAUUGCUUGAACUUGGGAGGCAGUGGUUGCAGUGACCUGAGAUGGCACCACUGUACUUCAGUCUGGAUGACAGAGCAAGACUCCAUCUCAAAAAAAAAAAAAAAAAAAAGGCACUUUUUUUUUCUUUUGUUCGUUCAUAAAGUAUUUUACUAUCUUGUACAACCUUGUGGUCAAUGUAAUUGUAGGAGGUUUUCAUUGCACUACCAAAAAAUUUAGUUUAACAGAGGGUUCUGUUAAUAGGAUACCCAGAACAGAAGUUUGCUGUAUUCAACACCGUCUACCUUCACACGCCUUGCAAGUAUUGUUAACCAGCUUUAUGACCAAGAGGUUUCCAUAAGGCCAUAAUUACUUUGUCACACAACAUAUAAAAUGCACAUCUCGAGCUGAUGAAAAUAAGAAGUUUGAUCCACUCCAUAGCAAGCAUUUCUAAUUGCUAAAUUUUUCACACAUUUUUUAUUACUUGGUGUAUUACAGAUGUGAGAAAUGUCACCAUCUCUGGUUCUAUUAGGAGUGACAUAAAGUGAUGAAUGCUGACUCUGUGUGUGUACAUUUUAACCAGACACAAAGGGAUUUAAACAGUCAAAAUAGAUGUCCUUCAAAGGAGUAAUUUUAGAAACCAGUAUCGAUUCUAGAAAUACUGAAUUUAUUUCAAAUAUCACUGGACUUCCCCUCUGAAACGUUUAAAACCCAUGCAAGGAAAUCGUAUUGAUCUUUUACAAAUUACAUCUCAUUUUUGCAUAAAAACAGUGCUACCCAAAUAGCUCACACUUUAUACUGAUCAGUUUUGCUUUCAUGGACUUUUGGCUACUUCUCAAAAUUAAAUGCACCUUCACAGCACAAAAAUUUAUCAUCAUUGGACAUUGAAAAGAUUCUGAAAGCAGUUACAAAAGGGGAAUGUUUUUAAAAAGUUGUAAACAAAGGUAACAACAUUGAGAAUAUGUGUAUGGCCUCCCAGAGGACUGUUCUAAAGCAGUACUCUCGUUUGGGGGAUACGUCGGAUGGAUUUCUUUUUAUGAAGAGGUCAUCUCAAGUAUACCAUCUGUUGAGCCUUCCUUAUUUGUUAGACAAAAACAUUUUCAUCAUUUCAUCAUUUCCUCCAUUUUAGGAAGUAUGACAAGCAUUAGAGACUAGGAUAGAGUCUUGAGAACUUGAGAAAGCUACACAUUUGUAUCUCAAGUUAAGAAAAAAUAAAGAUAAGAAACAGAAAACAGGAAAAGACAAGCACCAAAAGCAAAGUAGGCCAAAGGACUUCCUAUGUUCAAAUAUUUCCUAGGUAUUGUUUCAAAUGUUCUUGUUGGUGACAAUUAUUAUUGGGCAUUUACCCUGAGCCAAUCACUGUGCUUGUUACUUGAUAUGGUCUAUCUCAUAUAAUCCUUCUAAUGAGAGCAUCUAAGGCAAACGUUCUUACCAGUCCUUUAUGGAUGAAGAGGUGGAGGAAUUUUUAUGUAAAUAGAUGGCCUAGACAGGAUUUAAACUCAAUGUUUCUCUGAUUCCAAAGCCAGUGCUCUCUCAAACCAUACCAAGAAGCUAACAGAAACCAGCACUUCAUGUAAUUUUUAAGAAGACAGCAAGUUCAGAUACAACUCAGACACUUCCACAGGGGAUUUGGACAAUCUGUUUGUCACUCUGAGCCUGUGUUAUAUGAUUUCUGCUGAUUCCAUCAGGUGCCUUUUUUUCUUUUUUUUUCUUUUUUUUUUUUUUUUUUUUUUUUUUUUGGUAAGCCUUGGCCCAUCUCUUAAGAGCUCAAAGAAUAUGCCUGGGAGCAAAGGAACCACCAGCUCAGUUAGGUUGAAACCAGUUAGCCAUUGUAGUACUACUUAGUGCUGUCUUGGUUAAUUGAUUAACUUCCCCUUUAAAAUGUGUGUGUAUUUUCUACAUAGGUUUUUGGUUCACAUUUGUUUUUCCCAGGACCUUAAUACUUUCUAUGCUAUGAUGGUCACCAUUAGAAAGUAAUUGCAUGCCUGAUGAUGGAAAUAAUCAACAAAGAUGACCACUGAUGUGUCUCUACAUGUCAUGAUUGCCUUAGGGUUUCAAUUCCUGUAUUUUUUUCCCCUCUCAUCCCAUGCAUCCCUUCCCAUGCUUCCUUUGUGAAUUAAGAUAAAAGGAACAAGAAACCAGGAAGUCUUCCUUCCACCUGACUUCUGACUACACAUAACCACACAAACAGCCUAUUUUGAUCAGUUUCCUCCAGUCUCCAUCAUAGGUGUUUGAUCUAUAGUUUAGAUACCAAGUCCUCGAUAGUAGAACUCAUGUAUAGCUAAGCGCUACACAUAGCUCUUGAUGCAAUGCAAGGACUUCCAACUGACCAAGUGUAACCAUGACACACUGGUCAGAAGCAAGUCAGACUCAGGUUCCAGCUCCUAGUCCUAACAUUGUGAUGAUGUGGCUAUUACUGGACAUGUGCAUAAACAUAUUGUUGGAGGUGCUGGGAAUAUUGGAAUUAGAAUGUACCUACAUGACCUCAGCUUUGGGUGGUAUUAAAGCUUUUUGCUUUUUGUGAUAAACAAUAGGAGGCUGCUUAUUUCCUCUAAGAGACUUUUUUGAGGUUUUUCUGACAGUAAGGUGGCACGGGCAGGGAACUUCCUUCCAAAGCCACUUCUCAGCCUCUGUUCUAUGAGUUUUCUUCCUCUUCAUUCCUGUCUUCUGCCUCCGUUCCUUCUGGCUGUCCCUCCUCUAGCUCUGCUUCUAAUUGCCUGAGGAGGCACUGCAGGGUCUAUCCUGUGGGAAUCCAGUUUGCAAUGACUCUUUUGGUCUAUGAAACACCUAUUAUCGGUUCCUCAGAUUUGAAUACCUAGACAGAUGUAUGUGCUCCCUUAAGGGACAAGUACUGUGGCAUGCGGAGUGUGGUACACCAAGCCUAAUCUUCUGUUCUGUGGAUGUUGGUGCUCAGUUGCUAGUCUUGGUUGACUGGACAAUUCCCACGUAGCUUUUGCUUAAUGUCUGAAUCAUUGGAAGGAGAAGGACUUUGGUCUGUCUUUCUCCUUUUGUAACUUCCUCUUUUUGCACUUUAUGUGAGAUUACGAGUGAGUGUGAUUUCAGAUGAGAAACACUUAACAGUGAGUCAGGGAGAUGAAAUUUCACUGAGAUGCGGAACACAGGAAGAGAAAAUGUGUGAAAAAUCACGUUGACGGGGUUGUCUUGGUAGCUAGUAAAGCAGAGAAAGGAAAUUCCCGCACAGCAGGCUUUAAUAAAAUUGGCAGGCAGGAAUGUCACACUGUGUGAGAAUAUUGGUGAGGAAUCUAGGGAUGGAGAGCAAGUAAAGGAAUCAUAAGGGCCUUCUUAUAUUGGACAUUCUUUCUCUGCACCUAAUUUACUCUAAACGAGUUUGCAGAUGAGAAUUGUUUUCCCAUGAAUUUGCAUCAGUAGAUUUAAGAGCAUGGAUGCGCACACCCCAACACAAGGUGUCAACCAAAUAUUAGGCAAUGUUAUGGCUUAUUAACGAUUUUCAAUCCAAGGAUAGUUAAUGAAGAGUGGACAUUUAUGUCUGUGUAUAAAAAGCAGUAUAUGGAAACUCAAAUUCCCAGUGGAAAUAAAACAAGACAUCGUCAUUAUUUAACAAAAGAAUUCACCGUGUAAUUCUAUAUAAGACAAACGCACUCACACAUUCUUUAAGGACUUUAAAAAUAUCCUUUGAUUUCCAUGCAACUUUUCUGGACUUUUUAUAUCUACCACAUAAAGCAAGCCUGUUACCGAGAUAAAUGUGGAAGUUCUAUGUCCUUAUUGCCUGGGUCACUUUACCAAUGAUCCACCACUUACUUAUUCGUUUUAUUAAAUAUAUUCUGUCUUAAAUCUAUUGAUGCAAAUUCAUGGGAAAACACUUCUUAUCUGGAAACUCAUUUAGAGUAAAUUCGGUGCAGAGAAAGCAUGCCCAGCAUCAGAAGGCCCUUAUGAUCCCUUUACUUACUCUCCAUCGCUAGAUUCCUCACCAAUAUUCUCACACAGUCCGAUAUCCCUGCCUGCCAAUUUCAUUAAAACCUGCUGUGCAGGAAACCUACCAGUGUGUAAGAUUCUUGAGAAUAGACCAUUGUCUGUUUUGUUCAUGUACGUAUCACAAAUGUUUAGAACACUUGUGGCACAUAGUAGGUGCUUCAUAAAUAUUUACUGAAUAAAUGAAUGAAUGAUCUUGGGAGGUCAGGGAAUGUUCGCCUCACUUGAUGAGUAAACCACCCAAGCCAAAGGCGGCAGCUAACCCAGAACUCCUCCACUUAACCCCCUUUAUGUCAAUGGCUCUCUUUGGAGUCACUGCCAGGUUUUGUGUGUAAGGAGGCAUAAUGCUCCCAGGGCAGGCUGCUGGGGACCAAGCCCUGGGACACACAGAGCAUCCUGAAAUGCCAGAGACCGGCAGAGUCACACUGGGAAUUACUUGUCUUCAAUACAUAAAAUAUUGGUGGGGAUGGCAACUUUAACAUUUGCCUUUUAGAAAAUUCUGUUGAAGGCCCUCCCCAAGUUGAAGUUGGUGGCCUGGGAGAUAGUCAUCAGCUUCCAGAGAGAGGACCCAGCAACUUUUUCCUCCACCAAGUGUUUUUUAAUUAGUAGUUGGCUCAGAAAAGGCAAAGCAGCUACUUCUGCUGGAGAUCCAAGGCUGAAAUAAAUACUGCUGUUAGAAGUGGAAGGUCACUUUACAAUGGUGUUGUCUAUCACUCUGAGCUUCCUGCACCUCCAGGGGAGGCCAUGAGCUUAGGCACAAAGUGUGGAUAAACGCCUAUUUUAGCUGAUGAUAUAGAUUAAGAGAGUGGAAGAAAAGAGCCUACACCCUGUGCCCCCUUUUGCACUUAGUUGUGGUGGAGAGGACGGGGAGGUGGUCAGCUCCUGCUGUUCUCAGUGGGCGCCCUCCGAGAGCAGUCCUUGUAUUACCCACUUCACUGUUUUGUCCCCAUCUCAUUAUCUGUUCUUGUUAAAAUCUUUAUUAUUCAUGGAUGCAAAAAAUCCCAUCAUUAAACCAUCAUAAAUAUUCAUAACACUUUGCAAUUGUGUGCAUUUCAUUUAGCCACUUGGCAAAACUUCUCUGAAGUACCAGAGUUUUAAGGAAAUCUGGCUAAUGAGACCAGAGCCCAGGAAAUGCAGGAUAGCCUUUCCACUUUAUUUUACUUUAACCUGAAAACAAAUGCAAAAUAUAAAUAAUAAUUAAAAGAGAAAAACAGGGAAGGCAUUUAGUGGCAAAGAAGAGCCACACAUUCCUUGGCUUUGUCUUGAUUGUGCUUUUGUGUCAAGCAGAAGAUAAGGGUAAACACUGUGCUACAAGAGG
This 5827-nucleotide long non-coding RNA is filed under the name Homo sapiens (human). Its description in RNAcentral is "non-protein coding lnc-FER-18:2". Lineage: Eukaryota; Metazoa; Chordata; Mammalia; Primates; Hominidae. The record is from RNAcentral.